AAGUAUAGCAUAUACCGUGAAACUGCGAAUGGCUCAUAAAUCAGUUAUCGUUUAUUGAUAGUACCUUACUACUUGGAUAACCCGUGGUAAUUCUAGAGCUAAUACAUGCUAAAAACCCCGACUUCGGGAGGGGUGUAUUUAUUAGAUAAAAAACCAAUGCCCUUCGGGGCUCUCUGGUGAUUCAUAAUAACUUAACGGAUCGCAUGGCCUUGCGCCGGCGACGGUUCAUUCAAAUUUCUGCCCUAUCAACUUUCGAUGGUAAGGUAUUGGCUUACCAUGGUUUCAACGGGUAACGGGGAAUUAGGGUUCGAUUCCGGAGAGGGAGCCUGAGAAACGGCUACCACAUCCAAGGAAGGCAGCAGGCGCGCAAAUUACCCAAUCCCGACACGGGGAGGUAGUGACAAUAAAUACUGAUACAGGGCUCUUUUGGGUCUUGUAAUCGGAAUGAGUACAAUUUAAACCCCUUAACGAGGAACAAUUGGAGGGCAAGUCUGGUGCCAGCAGCCGCGGUAAUUCCAGCUCCAAUAGCGUAUAUUAAAGUUGUUGCAGUUAAAAAGCUCGUAGUUGAACCUUGGGCCUGGCUGGCCGGUCCGCCUCACCGCGUGUACUGGUCCGGCCGGGCCUUUCCUUCUGGAGAACCACAUGCCCUUUACUGGGUGUGCCGGGGAACCAGGACUUUUACUUUGAAAAAAUUAGAGUGUUCAAAGCAGGCCUUUGCUCGAAUACGUUAGCAUGGAAUAAUAGAAUAGGACGUGCGGUCCUAUUUUGUUGGUUUUCAGGACCGCCGUAAUGAUUAAUAGGGAUAGUCGGGGGCAUCAGUAUUCAAUUGUCAGAGGUGAAAUUCUUGGAUUUAUUGAAGACUAACUACUGCGAAAGCAUUUGCCAAGGAUGUUUUCAUUAAUCAGUGAACGAAAGUUAGGGGAUCGAAGACGAUCAGAUACCGUCGUAGUCUUAACCGUAAACUAUGCCGACUAGGGAUCGGGCGAUGUUUCUAUCUUGACUCGCUCGGCACCUUACGAGAAAUCAAAGUUUUGGGUCUG
This 1040-nucleotide ribosomal RNA is filed under the name Ligninsphaeriopsis thailandica. Its description in RNAcentral is "SSU rRNA". It matches the Rfam family "Eukaryotic small subunit ribosomal RNA", at positions 61 to 1116 of the family's 1831-position model. The record is from RNAcentral. Lineage: Eukaryota; Fungi; Ascomycota; Dothideomycetes; Pleosporales. RNAcentral also lists the same sequence under 1 other name.